RNAcentral lists this transfer RNA (73 nucleotides) under Monodelphis domestica (gray short-tailed opossum). It matches the Rfam family "tRNA". From Rfam's summary of the family: Transfer RNA (tRNA) molecules are approximately 80 nucleotides in length. Their secondary structure includes four short double-helical elements and three loops (D, anti-codon, and T loops). The record is from Rfam by way of RNAcentral. Lineage: Eukaryota; Metazoa; Chordata; Mammalia; Didelphimorphia; Didelphidae.
UCAUCUUUGGUGCAGUAGGUAGCACAAUGGUCUUGCAAGCUGAAGGUCCGGAGUUUGAUCCUCCAAAGGAGGG